This 1492-nucleotide long non-coding RNA is filed under the name Pogona vitticeps (central bearded dragon). Its description in RNAcentral is "lncRNA (ENSPVIG00000016521.1)". Lineage: Eukaryota; Metazoa; Chordata; Lepidosauria; Squamata; Agamidae. The record is from RNAcentral.
UCUACUCUGGGCGGCAGAGACAGCAUGAUGAUAGCAUGCAGUUUACAAAUAACUAGCAGUUAGCACUUAUACAAGUAUCCUCCACCUAGUUUGCUAGUCCAAAGGACGUGUUCCCUUAAUCUAAAUGUUGUCGUUUUUGGGUGAAUGGGGGCAUCAGUCUUUCAGCCAACUUGAAGUUUGGACUUCUGACCACCUGAAAUUGCCCUCUUCUGUCAUGAGUAAAUUCUUGGGCAUGUGAACAGGACUGACUGAGCUUUGUCCUGCCUGCCUUCAUUACUGAUAGCUAGUUUGGUUUUUUCUUUUCUUGCAUCAACCCUCACACACAUGAGCUGUGGACAUUUUUGGUUCCUAUCUGCACACCAUCUCACCAUAGCUGCGGCAAAUGGACUUUUAGAGGGAGGAAGCUGCUCCUUUUUGGUGGAGCCCAAGCACCCAGAAAGGUUGUUGCUGACUUUCUUUUAUUUUCUUUAAUUGGAGAUUUGCAUUGGAUCAUUUACAAGCUAGGGAAUUGGCCACUUGUCAGACCUUAAACUUACACUCCAUUUUUCCGUCACUGAAACUUUGCUGCCAUCAGUGAUGUGCUUGUGCUAUUUUAAACAAAAUGUAAAACUUGAAUCAGUUGACUCUUGUCCACCAUCUGUGCACACAACAGGUAGGAACAACGUUGGCAUGAGAUCUCCUGUGCCACUAUGUCCCUUUUCAUGGGCUACAGUUUCUCAUAUCCUGGGCUUUGGAGACGGCUGAGAAGUAAUAACACUUCUAGCAAUCACUUGAACGAAGAAGACCAUCAAGGAAAAGGGAAGACAAGAUCCAUUAUUGUCCGGAGAAGAAGCAGGUGCCUCUCCCUAACAGAAAGAACAAUCAGAGGAAACAUGCACUUGCCUUCGGACUGCAGAAUUAAAGGCAUGCCCACAAUGGUCUCUUCCACAGGCCAAAAGAACAAAGACUACUGGAUACAGAUGCAGGAGAAAUUUAUAGUGGGGAGAGCUUCCUUGAGAAACCCUCAAAAGCCCCAAGAGCGUAUCCAGCAUGAAGCAGCAGCACCUUCUAUGAUGCUGAGAUUUGAAGAGGAUUAGCAACCCCACAUACACUUGUUCAUUGUAUUAAAAACCCAGAAAGAAAGUUUUCUAACCCAGGAGAGCAGUGUUUGCUUUAGGGCAGUGGUCCCCAACCUUGGGCCUCCAGAUGUUCUUGGCCUACAACUCCCAGAAGCCUUCAGCAACACCUCUGCUGGCCAGGAUUUCUGGGAGUUGAAGUCCAAGAACAUCUGGAGGCCCAAGGUUGGGGACCACUGCUUUAGGGUAAAGAAAAUCAAUUGGAAGUCCUCAUAAAGGAUGUUCAAGAUGGUGGCCAGACAACAGAGGUGUAGCAGAUUUUGGUGUCAGCAACCCACUGUGACCAGCAGAGAAGAAAAACAGUCUUCCAGUAAAUUAAUCAUAGUUGCUGGCUACAACCUAAUAAAGAACAGAUAGGUUGUUGUGGGUUUUCCGGG